Molecule: long non-coding RNA, 1557 nt
Filed under: Homo sapiens (human)
Lineage: Eukaryota; Metazoa; Chordata; Mammalia; Primates; Hominidae
Description: HSALNT0296602
Source: RNAcentral
GGCAAACAGACGCAUAACUGUGCAUUGUUCUUUGGGAUUUUGAGAGCCUUCAUCUCAAUUUCAACUUUAAAGCAGCUUAAUCUUUAAGGAACAUAUCUCUGAUCUGGGUAAUUUGUAGAACUUAAUUUGAGGGUCAUUACAUGUGAGGAUAGCAGGAGUUGAAGAUGCCAAGGACCUGAAGGGCUACUGGAGGGACAGGUGAAGUGAUUUGAAGAUGUAGCAUUUUGAAUCUCUUUCUGGCCCAUCCUCUGCUUCACACCAGAAUCAUUGUGACCUGUAGACCUGCAAAACAAAGGACCAAAGUUAGGUCUGGGGAAAAGCAGCAGCAAAAAUGAGUUCUUACUUCUGGGCACAAAAUGAAAGUAACAGACCUGAUUUACUCUGCGGGCAGCCAGCUGACUACCUUGUUGAAGAGAAACAUUUCACAACGCUUGUAUGCUUCAUUGUUGUUUUGGGAGGAUUCGUGAUAGGACACAUGGCCUACAAUUCUGUUGAGGUGCACCAAAUUGUCUACCCUCUUCUAAGAACAUCAAGUUUUUCACUUUAUUCUUACUUUUCACCUUUAAUUAUAUUUAUGGUUGCUUUGGAUGUAGAAUUUUAUACACUCAAGAAAAUGUUUUGGCAGGUUGAUAAUUUCUGCUUCUUUUUAAAAACUAGUUUAGUCCAUUAGUAUUUAUUGUAAUUAAAAAUAGAUUUAGAAGAGAAAAGAUUUGAACAGAUUUGGGACACCAAGGAAGAUAUAUGGAUGGAAUAAAAGCACUUGGAAAGACGCUCAACAUCCUAAGUCAUUAGAGAAAUACACACUAAAACCACAAUGAGAUACCACUGUGUACCUAUUGGAAUAGCAACAACAAACCUGUUAAUGCCAAGUGCUGGUGAAGAUAUGAAGACAAUGAAACUUGCAUACAUUGUUGGUGAGAAUGCAAAAUGGUACAACCACUUUGGGAAACAGUUUGGGAGUUUCUUAUAAAGUUAAAUAUAUACUUGCCACAUGACUCACCAAUCUCACUCCUGUGUAUUUACCCAAGAGACAUGAAAACUUAUGUUUACAAAACCUUUAUAUGAAUCUGUAUAGCAGCUUUAUUUAUAAUCUCAAAUGUCUGGAAACAAACAUUCUUCCAUUGGUGAAUGAAUAAACAAAUCGUGGAACAUCUUUCAAUGAAAUAUUACUCAGCAAUAAAAAAGGAAUGGAGUAUCGAUAGGCACAACAAGGAAGAAUUUAAAAUGCAUUGUGCUAAGAGAAAUAAGCCAGCCUCCAAGGGGUACAUACAAAUUAUAAAAUUACAUUCAUAGACCUUCUAAAAAUGGCAAAACUGUAGGUCUGGAGAACAUCAUUGGUUGCUAGGGAAUGGUGUUGGGGAAAAGAAUUGACCACAAAGAUAUAGCAUGAGGAAAUUUUUGGGAGUGAUGUAUCUGUUUUGUUUCUUAGUUGUGGUGUGAUUACAUAACUGUAUGCAUUUAUCAAAACUCAUAUAACUGUACACCAAAAGAGUAGAUUUUACUGUUUAUAAAUUGAAAAUAAAGUUUUUAAAAGAAAUAUAUUUUGACUUUUUCUCA